Molecule: long non-coding RNA, 320 nt
Organism: Salvelinus namaycush (lake trout)
Lineage: Eukaryota; Metazoa; Chordata; Actinopteri; Salmoniformes; Salmonidae
Exons: 3
Source: RefSeq, a predicted model, not a curated record
CCUGCAGACAGAAGAGGGGACAGUGACAGAUGUCAACCCUCACCUCUCCUCCUGCUGUGAAUUACUGGAGCUCAUCCUCAGGAAGGGCCUUCAACAGCCAGUCCUUGGUCUAGUACACAGGGACUACUGGCAAUGUUUCGAGCAACUCCUCCAACACGACAACUGCGGCAGACUGAGUACUGUGUCGCUUGCGGUUGAACAGACCUUAGCCUGCAGGAAACUGUUGUCAGCUCAGGGACGAGGACGCUACCUCCUUAGGCUAGCCCUCAGACGGAGGGUUCUAGAAGGAGUCAUCAAACACCUGUUACACACACCCAAAG